GACGAACGCUGGCGGCGUGCUUAACACAUGCCAGUCGAACGGGCUGCCUGGUUUUCGGAUCGGGUGGUGAGUGGCGAACGGGUGAGUAACACGUGAGUAACCUGCCCCUCUCUUUGGGAUAACGUCGGGAAAUCGGCGCUAAUACCGGGUAUUCUGGCUUCCUCGCAUGGGGUUGUUGGGAAAGGUUUUUUCUGGUGGGGGAUGGGCUCGCGGCCUAUCAGCUUGUUGGUGGGGUGAUGGCCUACCAAGGCGGUGACGGGUAGCCGGCCUGAGAGGGUGUCCGGCCACACUGGGACUGAGACAAGGCCCAGACUCCUACGGGAGGCAGCAGUGGGGAAUAUUGCACAAUGGGCGGAAGCCUGAUGCAGCGACGCCGCGUGGGGGAUGACGGCCUUCGGGUUGUAAACCUCUUUCAGUGCAGAACAAGGCUCUUUGUGGGUUGAGGGUAUGCGCAGAAGAAGCGCCGGCUAACUACGUG
Molecule: ribosomal RNA, 478 nt
Filed under: uncultured bacterium
Lineage: Bacteria
Description: partial 16S ribosomal RNA
Rfam family: Bacterial small subunit ribosomal RNA
Source: RNAcentral